The sequence is a transfer RNA, 72 nucleotides long. It matches the Rfam family "tRNA". From Rfam's summary of the family: Transfer RNA (tRNA) molecules are approximately 80 nucleotides in length. Their secondary structure includes four short double-helical elements and three loops (D, anti-codon, and T loops). The record is from Rfam.
GACGCUAUAGAUUAGUGGUUAGAUCAGCUCGUUGUGGCCGAGCAGACGGGUGUUCGAAUCACCCUAGCGUCA